UUGCUAUUUGAUAUUUCUAGCGGCGGACGGGUGAGUAACGCGUGAGCAACCUGCCUUUAUCAGGGGGAUAACGCAUCGAAAGAUGUGCUAAUACCGCGUAAGACCACAGCUUCACAUGGAGCAGGGGUCAAAGGAGCAAUCCGGAUAAAGAUGGGCUCGCGUCCGAUUAGCUAGUUGGUGAGAUAACAGCCCACCAAGGCGACGAUCAGUAGCCGGCCUGAGAGGGUGAACGGCCACAUUGGGACUGAGACACGGCCCAAACUCC
This 265-nucleotide ribosomal RNA is filed under the name uncultured Eubacteriales bacterium. RNAcentral describes it as "uncultured Clostridiales bacterium partial 16S ribosomal RNA". It matches the Rfam family "Bacterial small subunit ribosomal RNA", at positions 76 to 339 of the family's 1533-position model. The record is from RNAcentral. Lineage: Bacteria; Bacillati; Bacillota; Clostridia; Eubacteriales.